Drosophila takahashii is the source of this 485-nucleotide long non-coding RNA. RefSeq lists it as uncharacterized. NCBI's taxonomy places the organism in Eukaryota, Metazoa, Arthropoda, Insecta, Diptera, Drosophilidae. The record is from RefSeq and is a predicted model, not a curated record.
GUGCGUAGUCGCGAAAAACUAUGAAGACGCAGCUCUCGCGUCGAGCGGUCCUCAGAAUCCUCCGGUCGUCCUCCAGUUCAAAAAAUCAGCAAAUAAAUCCAACAUUUCUUGCAAAGUGAAAUGCGAAAAACGCGUCGCAGAGUAAUCACAUCGCAAAUACAGCGAAAUUAAGAGAAUUGAAGAAUCAAGCGAAACCCAGUGAAGAAUCGAAACGAAUCGAAUCGAAAGGAAGAAUCGGAAGAAGAAUCAGAAUCAGCGGAAUCGGAAUCGGAAUAACACUAAAUAUAUGUAACCACCAUUAAAAAGCAAUCAAAAAAGCAACCAAACAAACAACAAAAAGCAACAAAAGUGCCAUAUGCAACCGAUAAGACUGUGUGAAUGGUCAAGUGGUCAUCAGCAUCAAAGCGAUUCUCUCUCUCCCCCGCAUGUGUGUGAGUGAGUGAUUGGCGAGUGUGUGUGUGUGUGAGAGAGAGAGUGGGUGAAAG